Molecule: ribosomal RNA, 263 nt
Filed under: Escherichia coli
Lineage: Bacteria; Pseudomonadati; Pseudomonadota; Gammaproteobacteria; Enterobacterales; Enterobacteriaceae
Also listed under: 1 other name
Description: partial 16S ribosomal RNA
Rfam family: Bacterial small subunit ribosomal RNA
Source: RNAcentral
AAAUUGAAGAGUUUGAUCAUGGCUCAGAUUGAACGCUGGCGGCAGGCCUAACACAUGCAAGUCGAACGGUAACAGGAAGAAGCUUGCUUCUUUGCUGACGAGUGGCGGACGGGUGAGUAAUGUCUGGGAAACUGCCUGAUGGAGGGGGAUAACUACUGGAAACGGUAGCUAAUACCGCAUAACGUCGCAAGACCAAAGAGGGGGACCUUCGGGCCUCUUGCCAUCGGAUGUGCCCAGAUGGGAUUAGCUAGUAGGUGGGGUAA